CCUACGGGAGGCAGCAGUGGGGAAUAUUGGGCAAUGGGCGCAAGCCUGACCCAGCAACGCCGCGUGAAGGAAGAAGGCUUUCGGGUUGUAAACUUCUUUUCACAGGGACGAAGCAAGUGACGGUACCGGAGGAAUAAGCCACGGCUAACUACGGGCCAGCAGCCGCGGUAAGACGUAGGUGGCAAGCGUUAGCCGGAUUUACUGGGUGUACCGGGCGGGUAGGCGGGAAAGUAAGGCAGAUGUGCAAACCAUGGGCUCACCCUUUGGCCUGCAUUUGAAACUGUUUUUCUUGCGUACUGGCGAGGCAGCCGGACUUCCUCGUGUAGCGGUGUACUGCGUAGAUAUUAGG
RNAcentral lists this ribosomal RNA (349 nucleotides) under uncultured bacterium. RNAcentral's name for it is "partial 16S ribosomal RNA". It matches the Rfam family "Bacterial small subunit ribosomal RNA", at positions 338 to 701 of the family's 1533-position model. The record is from RNAcentral.